Zalophus californianus (California sea lion) is the source of this 134-nucleotide small nuclear RNA. Its record names the gene U4. It matches the Rfam family "U4 spliceosomal RNA". From Rfam's summary of the family: U4 small nuclear RNA (U4 snRNA) is a component of the major U2-dependent spliceosome. The structure of U4 snRNA from yeast and human has been reported. U4 snRNA presents a k-turn RNA motif in the 5p-SL related to recognition of Snu13 protein. The record is from Ensembl. Lineage: Eukaryota; Metazoa; Chordata; Mammalia; Carnivora; Otariidae.
AGCUUUGUGCAGUGGCAAUAUUGUAGCCAAUGAGGUUUAUCUGAGGCGCAAUAAUUGCUAAUUGAAACAGAUGAAUGGAUAAAGAAGAUGUGGUAUAUAUAUAUACAAUGGAUAAUUAUGCAGCCAUCAAAAGG